UUAAGUCCCGCAACGAGCGCAACCCACGCCAUUAGUUGCCAUCAUUUAGUUGGGCACUCUAAUGGGACCGCCGGUGGUAAGCCGGAGGAAGGUGUGGAUGACGUCAAGUCCUCAUGGCCCUUACAGGGUGGGCUACACACGUGCUACAAUGGCGACUACAGAGGGUUGCAAGCCAGCGAUGGUGAGCCAAUCCCAAAAAGUCGUCUCAGUUCGGAUUGCACUCUGCAACUCGAGUGCAUGAAGUCGGAAUCGCUAGUAAUCGCGGAUCAGCAUGCCGCGGUGAAUACGUUCCCGGGCCUU
RNAcentral lists this ribosomal RNA (300 nucleotides) under uncultured bacterium. RNAcentral describes it as "bacterial SSU rRNA". It matches the Rfam family "Bacterial small subunit ribosomal RNA", at positions 1080 to 1382 of the family's 1533-position model. The record is from RNAcentral.